Molecule: ribosomal RNA, 484 nt
Filed under: uncultured bacterium
Lineage: Bacteria
Description: partial 16S ribosomal RNA
Rfam family: Bacterial small subunit ribosomal RNA
Source: RNAcentral
AUUGAACGCUGGCGGCAGGCCUAACACAUGCAAGUCGAGCGGAUGAAGGGAGCUUGCUCCUGGAUUCAGCGGCGGACGGGUGAGUAAUGCCUAGGAAUCUGCCUGGUAGUGGGGGAUAACGUCCGGAAACGGGCGCUAAUACCGCAUACGUCCUGAGGGAGAAAGUGGGGGAUCUUCGGACCUCACGCUAUCAGAUGAGCCUAGGUCGUAUUAGCUAGUUGGGGGGGUAAAGGCCUACCAAGGCGACGAUCCGUAACUGGUCUGAGAGGAUGAUCAGUCACACUGGAACUGAGACACGGUCCAGACUCCUACGGGAGGCAGCAGUGGGGAAUAUUGGACAAUGGGCGAAAGCCUGAUCCAGCCAUGCCGCGUGUGUGAAGAAGGUCUUCGGAUUGUAAAGCACUUUAAGUUGGGAGGAAGGGCAGUAAGUUAAUACCUUGCUGUUUUGACGUUACCAACAGAAUAAGCACCGGCUAACUUCGUG